This 253-nucleotide ribosomal RNA is filed under the name uncultured bacterium. Its description in RNAcentral is "partial 16S ribosomal RNA". It matches the Rfam family "Bacterial small subunit ribosomal RNA", at positions 524 to 776 of the family's 1533-position model. The record is from RNAcentral.
GACGUAGGAGGCGAGCGUUGUCCGGAUUCAUUGGGCGUAAAGAGCACGCAGGCGGUUUGGCAAGUCGGAUGUGAAAGCCCGGAGCUCAACUCCGGACCUGCAUCCGAAACUGCCCGACUAGAGGUAGGUAGGGGAGAUCGGAAUUCCUGGUGUAGCGGUGAAAUGCGUAGAGAUCAGGAGGAACACCCGUGGCGAAGGCGGCACUCUGGGUCGGCCCUGACGCUGAGGCGCGAAGGCGUGGGGAGCGAACGGG